Molecule: ribosomal RNA, 496 nt
Filed under: uncultured bacterium
Lineage: Bacteria
Description: partial 16S ribosomal RNA
Rfam family: Bacterial small subunit ribosomal RNA
Source: RNAcentral
AUGCACGCUGGCGGCGUGCCUAAUACAUGCAAGUCGAGCGAACAGACGAGGAGCUUGCUCCUCUGACGUUAGCGGCGGACGGGUGAGUAACACGUGGAUAACCUACCUAUAAGACUGGGAUAACUUCGGGAAACCGGAGCUAAUACCGGAUAAUAUAUUGAACCGCAUGGUUCAAUAGUGAAAGACGGUUUUGCUGUCACUUAUAGAUGGAUCCGCGCCGCAUUAGCUAGUUGGUAAGGUAACGGCUUACCAAGGCAACGAUGCGUAGCCGACCUGAGAGGGUGAUCGGCCACACUGGAACUGAGACACGGUCCAGACUCCUACGGGAGGCAGCAGUAGGGAAUCUUCCGCAAUGGGCGAAAGCCUGACGGAGCAACGCCGCGUGAGUGAUGAAGGUCUUUGGAUCGUAAAACUCUGUUAUUAGGGAAGAACAAAUGUGUAAGUAACUAUGCACGUCUUGACGGUACCUAAUCAGAAAGCCACGGCUAACUACGUG